UUGGACCUGAUAUCAGGCAAGAUUACCCGCUGAACUU
This 37-nucleotide ribosomal RNA is filed under the name Phytophthora capsici. Its description in RNAcentral is "partial 28S ribosomal RNA". RNAcentral also lists the same sequence under 3 other names. The record is from RNAcentral. Lineage: Eukaryota; Oomycota; Peronosporomycetes; Peronosporales; Peronosporaceae.